RNAcentral lists this ribosomal RNA (126 nucleotides) under Nomascus leucogenys (northern white-cheeked gibbon). Lineage: Eukaryota; Metazoa; Chordata; Mammalia; Primates; Hylobatidae. The record is from RNAcentral.
GCCUUUAUGGCCACACCACCCUGAACGCAUGCACGGGAUCUCGACUGAUCUUGGAAGCUAAGCAGAGUCGGGCCUGGGUAGUACUUGGGAUGCGAGACCCCCUGGGAAUACUGGGUGCUGAAGGCU